AUUGAACGCUGGCGGCAUGCCUAACACAUGCAAGUCGAGCGAGCGGCGGACGGGUGAGUAAUGCCUGGGAAUUGCCCAGUCCAGGGGGAUAACAGUUGGAAACGACUGCUAAUACCGCAUACGAUUUGAUUGCCCAGGUGGGAUUAGCUAGUUGGUGAGUUAAUGGCUCACCAAGGCGACGAUCCCUAGCUGGUCUGAGAGGAUGGUCGGCCACACUGGGAAUGAGACACGGUCCAGACUCCUACGGGAGGCAGCAGUGGGGAAUAUUGCACAAUGGGGGAAACACUGAUGCAGCCAUGCCGCGUGAGUGAAGAAGGCCUUCGGGUUGUAAAGCACUGUCAUCGAGGAGGGGUUACUCAAAGAAGAGGCGACGGCUAACUGCGUGCCAGCAGCCGCGGUAAUAC
This 404-nucleotide ribosomal RNA is filed under the name uncultured bacterium. RNAcentral describes it as "partial 16S ribosomal RNA". It matches the Rfam family "Bacterial small subunit ribosomal RNA", at positions 30 to 526 of the family's 1533-position model. The record is from RNAcentral.